RNAcentral lists this ribosomal RNA (274 nucleotides) under uncultured bacterium. RNAcentral's name for it is "partial 16S ribosomal RNA". It matches the Rfam family "Bacterial small subunit ribosomal RNA", at positions 523 to 796 of the family's 1533-position model. The record is from RNAcentral.
AUACGUAGGGUGCGAGCGUUAAUCGGAAUUACUGGGCGUAAAGCGUGCGCAGGUGGUUUUGUAAGUCAGAUGUGAAAUCCCCGGGCUUAACCUGGGAACUGCGUUUGAAACUGCAAGGCUAGAGUGUGGCAGAGGGGGGUGGAAUUCCGCGUGUAGCAGUGAAAUGCGUAGAGAUGUGGAGGAACACCGAUGGCGAAGGCAGCCCCCUGGGUUAACACUGACGCUCAGGCACGAAAGCAUGGGGAGCAAACAGGAUUAGAAACCCGAGUAGUCC